This 69-nucleotide transfer RNA is filed under the name Pachydactylus punctatus. RNAcentral's name for it is "tRNA-Glu". Lineage: Eukaryota; Metazoa; Chordata; Lepidosauria; Squamata; Gekkonidae. The record is from RNAcentral.
GUUCUUGUAGUUGAGUAACAACGGUGGUUUUUCAGAUCACAGGUUUCGGUUUAAGGCUGGACAGGAAUA